Malus domestica (apple) is the source of this 224-nucleotide non-coding RNA. NCBI's taxonomy places the organism in Eukaryota, Viridiplantae, Streptophyta, Magnoliopsida, Rosales, Rosaceae. The record is from RefSeq and is a predicted model, not a curated record.
UGCCAAUGUUGAAUACUGUUAUGUGAUCAAAACAAAAUUAGGGGCUCAUCGUAUUCUGAUGGGUGCUGAAAUGGAUUGCUGUGAUUCAACUGAUGAUGGAAUGAGAUUUUAUGUGGAAUUAAAGACAAGCCAUGAGUUGGACAACCAUAAGAUAGAGUACGAGUUUGAGAAAGAAAAGCUCCUCAAAUUUUGGGUACAUUACUGUUUUAAAGACAAGCCAUGAG